GCCCCUAUAGCUCAAUUGGUAGAGCAACUCCCUCUUAAGGAGAUGGUUCUAGGUUCGAGUCCUAGUGGGGGCA
This 73-nucleotide transfer RNA is filed under the name Patescibacteria group bacterium. RNAcentral describes it as "tRNA-Lys". It matches the Rfam family "tRNA". Rfam says of the family: Transfer RNA (tRNA) molecules are approximately 80 nucleotides in length. The record is from RNAcentral.